AUUUGCAACUGCUAUAUUCUCUGUUGCAAUCUUCAUAUAUUCACAUGCAUCUUAUUUUCUUUCGACCCAUCUCCUCUUCUUUACGAUUCUAACUUGAUCUUCUUCUAUCCUGAUUUAAACUUCCACGUUGUAUGUUCUUUUAGUUUUUUUCCAUGUUUAGCUGCUGGUAGAGGAAGUAGAUGAAUUUUCUAUAUGGCGUGCCAAGAAAUGAAGAACUCAUGCCUGCUGUGCCCCCAUUCGGGAAAAAAAUUAUACACGGUUUAAUUUGAUAAUAGAUAUAAAUUAGUUGAUAAAUGGAUAGUACUUGUGGUCCUCGAAGGAACCACUCAAUUCAUUACAAACACACAAAAAAUAAAGCAGCCGUUGGGUAUUUCUUGAUGAUAAAGAACUCUAACCGAAAACAAUAAAUCAAAGUACUCAAAUGAUAAAAUGAAAAACAAGACAAAACAAUGAAAUUUGUUCAUCUAGUUCAGCCAAACACGGCCUAAUCUGGGGAGCUUAGGACUUGAACACGUUUCACUAUGCAAAUCGCCGUCCAAGAGAACCAAAGUUACAUCAAACCACUUAGAAUACACAAGUUUCGAUCAUCGAUCAACAGAAGCUAAACACAAAUCAUUCCACAACACUUAGCCCCAACUCCACAGUUUAUACAAACUGAAACCAACAACCACAAAAACCAACCUACAAAUUAUUGUAGCAAGGCUGUUAUAAAAGGCCUAGUGUAAAAACAUAAUUACACAGGAAGAGUUUAACCAAAGAGAAGAAAGAGAUGAAAAUUUUCUCUCGAAGAAAGCUCCACAGAGAGAAACUAAAAACAAGAAAAAUGAAUCUGAAAAACCAACCAUCCAAGUCUCUCUCCCAAGUCAUUGACCCAAUAACCAAGAAUUAAUCAUAGCCUUUCAUUCCAUUAGAUUAUCUCAACUGUCCAAAAGAAGCACAAAUUUUGGCACAAGUAAUAGACCAUUUGGGAGUUGCCACGUAAGGGUCUUCUCAACCCAAAUGUCAGCUGAGUCAAAUGUCAAAAAUAGUACUGUUUUAAAGUGUUUUUAUCAACACACUCUUUCAUUUCUUCACAUUGGGCUCUCUGGUUGCAUAAUUUGCAUAAGGAACAUUCAGUUCAUCAUCAUCAUCCAUACCUGCAAAAUAAAUUAACCUGUGUCAAUAUGAAGCAUAGUUAAACAGGACUUGAACUUACCAACAGAUAAAACUUUUGUUCCCAUAUCUGAGGGAUUUUUAUCAGUAUGAACUUUAACCAAAUUAACUUCACCUGUAGAGAUUUUAUCUCUAAUAAAAUGAUACUUCACCUCGAUAUGUAAACCUUUCAUGAUAGAUAAGGUUCUUACUAAGUAAUGGUGCACUUUGAUUUUCUGUAAAAUGGUGGGAGUAUCAUACAAGAAGUUCAAUUCAUUCAAGAUUCCUUUUAACCAUAAACAUUCUUUUACAGCUUCAAUAAUGGCAACAUAUUGAAAGAGUGUGUUUCUAAAAACACUUUAAAACAGUGUUAUUUUUGACAUUUGACUCAGCUGACAUUUGGGUUGAGGAGGCCUUUGCGUGACAGCUCCCAAAUGGUCUCUUACUUGUGCCAAAGAUUGUGCUUCUUUUGGAUGGUUGAGAUGAUCUAAUGGAAUGAAAUGCUAGAAUUAAUUAUUGGUUAUUGGAUCAAUGACUUGACUUGGGAGAGAGACUUAG
Molecule: long non-coding RNA, 1689 nt
Filed under: Olea europaea subsp. europaea
Lineage: Eukaryota; Viridiplantae; Streptophyta; Magnoliopsida; Lamiales; Oleaceae
Source: RNAcentral